AUUGAACGCUGGCGGCAGGCCUAACACAUGCAAGUCGAGCGGAUGAAGGGAGCUUGCUCCUGGAUUCAGCGGCGGACGGGUGAGUAAUGCCUAGGAAUCUGCCUGGUAGUGGGGGAUAACGUCCGGAAACGGGCGCUAAUACCGCAUACGUCCUGAGGGAGAAAGUGGGGGAUCUUCGGACCUCACGCUAUCAGAUGAGCCUAGGUCGGAUUAGCUAGUUGGUGGGGUAAAGGCCUACCAAGGCGACGAUCCGUAACUGGUCUGAGAGGAUGAUCAGUCACACUGGAACUGAGACACGGUCCAGACUCCUACGGGAGGCAGCAGUGGGGAAUAUUGGACAAUGGGCGAAAGCCUGAUCCAGCCAUGCCGCGUGUGUGAAGAAGGUCUUCGGAUUGUAAAGCACUUUAAGUUGGGAGGAAGGGCAGUAAGUUAAUACCUUGCUGUGUUGACGGUACCAACAGAAUAAGCACCGGCUAACUUCGUG
This 484-nucleotide ribosomal RNA is filed under the name uncultured bacterium. RNAcentral's name for it is "partial 16S ribosomal RNA". It matches the Rfam family "Bacterial small subunit ribosomal RNA", at positions 30 to 507 of the family's 1533-position model. The record is from RNAcentral.